GUCCACGCCCUAAACUAUGGACACUAAGUGUAGCCGGCGAAGGCCGGCUGUGCCGCAGCUAACGCAGUAAGUGUCCCGCCUGGGGAGUACGGCCGCAAGGUUGAAACUCAAAGGAAUUGACGGGGGCCCCGCACAAGCGGUGGAGCAUGUGGUUCAAUUCGACGCAACGCGAAGAACCUUACCUGGGUUUGACAUGCAGAUGGUACCGAACUGAAAAGGGAGGGACCCCGCAAGGGGAGUCUGCACAGGUGCUGCAUGGCUGUCGU
RNAcentral lists this ribosomal RNA (266 nucleotides) under uncultured bacterium. RNAcentral describes it as "partial 16S ribosomal RNA". It matches the Rfam family "Bacterial small subunit ribosomal RNA", at positions 793 to 1055 of the family's 1533-position model. The record is from RNAcentral.